AGCCAGCUGCGUUACUUAAUGUGAAUUGCAGGACACAUUGAACAUCGACAUCUUGAACGCAUAUUGCGGCCUCGGGUCCAUCUCGGGGCCACGCCUGUCUGAGGGUCGGCGACUAAGCAAUCGCAAACAACGUUUGCGCAUUGGGCUUUCGUAGUGACAC
This 160-nucleotide ribosomal RNA is filed under the name Haliotis diversicolor supertexta. RNAcentral describes it as "5.8S ribosomal RNA". The stretch from base 1 to 108 matches the Rfam family "5.8S ribosomal RNA", at positions 47 to 154 of the family's 154-position model. Rfam says of the family: 5.8S ribosomal RNA (5.8S rRNA) is a component of the large subunit of the eukaryotic ribosome. It is transcribed by RNA polymerase I as part of the 45S precursor that also contains 18S and 28S rRNA. Lineage: Eukaryota; Metazoa; Mollusca; Gastropoda; Lepetellida; Haliotidae. The record is from RNAcentral.